UACGUAGGGUGCGAGCGUUAAUCGGAAUUACUGGGCGUAAAGAGCUCGUAGGCGGUUCGUCGCGUCGGCUGUGAAAACCCGGAGCUCAACUCCGGGCCUGCAGUCGAUACGGGCGGACUUGAGUGUUGCAGGGGAGACUGGAAUUCCUGGUGUAGCGGUGAAAUGCGCAGAUAUCAGGAGGAACACCGGUGGCGAAGGCGGGUCUCUGGGCAACUACUGACGCUGAGGAGCGAAAGCGCGGGGAGCGAACAGG
Molecule: ribosomal RNA, 253 nt
Filed under: uncultured bacterium
Lineage: Bacteria
Description: partial 16S ribosomal RNA
Rfam family: Bacterial small subunit ribosomal RNA
Source: RNAcentral